AUUGAACGCUGGCGGUAUGCCUUACACAUGCAAGUCGAACGGCAGCACGGGUGCUUGCACCUGGUGGCGAGUGGCGAACGGGUGAGUAAUACAUCGGAACAUGUCCUGUAGUGGGGGAUAGCCCGGCGAAAGCCGGAUUAAUACCGCAUACGAUCUACGGAUGAAAGCGGGGGACCUUCGGGCCUCGCGCUAUAGGGUUGGCCGAUGGCUGAUUAGCUAGUUGGUGGGGUAAAGGCCUACCAAGGCGACGAUCAGUAGCUGGUCUGAGAGGACGACCAGCCACACUGGGACUGAGACACGGCCCAGACUCCUACGGGAGGCAGCAGUGGGGAAUUUUGGACAAUGGGCGAAAGCCUGAUCCAGCAAUGCCGCGUGUGUGAAGAAGGCCUUCGGGUUGUAAAGCACUUUUGUCCGGAAAGAAAUCCUUGGCCCUAAUACGGUCGGGGGAUGACGGUACCGGAAGAAUAAGCACCGGCUAACUACGUG
Molecule: ribosomal RNA, 486 nt
Filed under: uncultured bacterium
Lineage: Bacteria
Description: partial 16S ribosomal RNA
Rfam family: Bacterial small subunit ribosomal RNA
Source: RNAcentral